GACGAACGCUGGCGGCGUGCUUAACACAUGCAAGUCGAACGGAAAGGCCCUGCUUUUGUGGGGUGCUCGAGUGGCGAACGGGUGAUUAACACGUGAGUAACCUGCCCUUGACUUUGGGAUAACUUCAUGAAACUUGGGCUAAUACCGGAUAGGAGCUCCUGCUGCAUGGUUGGGGUUGGAAAGUUUCGGCGGUUGGGGAUGGACUCGCGGCUUAUCAGCUUGUUGGUGGGGUAGUGGCUUACCAAGGCUUUGACGGGUAGCCGGCCUGAGAGGGUGACCGGCCAAAUUGGGACUGAGAUACGGCCCAGACUCCUACGGGAGGCAGCAGUGGGGAAUAGUGCACAAGGGGCGGAAGCCUGAUGCAGCAACGCCGCGUGCGGGAUGACGGCCUUCGGGUUGUAAACCGCUUUCGCCUGUGACGAAGCGUGAGUGACGGUAAUGGGUAAAGAAGCACCGGCUAACUACGUG
This 468-nucleotide ribosomal RNA is filed under the name uncultured bacterium. Its description in RNAcentral is "partial 16S ribosomal RNA". It matches the Rfam family "Bacterial small subunit ribosomal RNA", at positions 28 to 507 of the family's 1533-position model. The record is from RNAcentral.